GGAGUGUAGCACAGUGGUAGAGUUCAUGCUUAGCAUGCAGGAGGCACUGGAUUCAAUCCCCAGCACCA
This 68-nucleotide transfer RNA is filed under the name Marmota monax (woodchuck). RNAcentral's name for it is "tRNA.Ala". Lineage: Eukaryota; Metazoa; Chordata; Mammalia; Rodentia; Sciuridae. The record is from RNAcentral.